UCAUACACUCAAAAAAACGAUUCCUGGCAAUAUUAGCUUUUAAGUAUUUGGAUCAUUUAGAUUUUAUUUAAAUACUCGUUUUUUAAAAUAUAUGUAAUCCGAUUUAUUAGAAUAUAUAUAAAUCUGUUCAAUUUAAAAAGUAUUAGAUUUAAUCAGUUAAAAUGUAUGAAUAUGAAUUAAAUAAAUCUAGCCGUGAAACAAACCGGAUAAAUUCUAUGAGAUUGGUUUACAUACAAAUUUCAGGAAACUGACUUUAGUAGAAGCGGAAAUGACGUCUAUUCACACUCCAGUCAGGAGGUGGCGCCAAAAUCAAAAAUAGACGCUACAGCACAUGGACUUCGCCAUUUUGCAUUGGACUGGAUCGUCAUCUCACUAGUCUACAAUCGCCAAAUUGUAGGUGAGUAAAGUUAACAAGUUUGAUGUGAUUAUCUUAAAUAUAAUUGUAUGUUGUUUAAUUACAUGUGUGACGCGUUGCAUGUUUCAGAGUAAAAUACACCUCACUACACAGACGGUCUGUUGGAAGUUACCCUGCAAUGUCUGUUGCUUUUAUUGGUUAAUUUUUGUGGUUUAAUGUUUGAAACCUAAGAAAUAAAUAAAGUCAUAGGCUACUAUAGGCUUAUCAGAAUAAAAUAAUCAUAAUCUCUGUGACUUUAUUAACAAAAGAAUGUUACAAUUAUACUAUGUUGUUGAGUGCAUUGUGUGUCUAACUAAAACUUUUUUUUUUACAGAUACAGCAUCAUUUCAUCGUCUAUAUGGUGGGACAACCUGCUAGACAGGUUGAAUACAUCUGUAUCUACCUCAAAGAAGGCAUGGAGAGACACAUUAAAGAAUAUGUGAAUUGUGAAAUUGGUGAGUUGGGGAUUGCACAGACAGUGGAAGUUUUGCAAAACCUACUUGCUGUCACACAUGGGUGUGAAAUUACUUUUUGGACUCAUUUAUGCACUUAAACUGAACUACCAGAAGAACAUCAGGUGCACCUUUGACCUUUCAAAAAAUCCUAAUGGAACUGGACUUGAUACAACCAAGCAAUCACUGAAAGAUACUUCAGUGAAUACCU
Non-coding RNA from Misgurnus anguillicaudatus (oriental weatherfish), 1057 nucleotides. The record is from RefSeq and is a predicted model, not a curated record. NCBI's taxonomy places the organism in Eukaryota, Metazoa, Chordata, Actinopteri, Cypriniformes, Cobitidae.